RNA transcript from Eriocheir sinensis (Chinese mitten crab), 1163 nucleotides. It is a transcript of the gene named neogenin-like, with no coding region annotated. The transcript has 7 exons. Lineage: Eukaryota; Metazoa; Arthropoda; Malacostraca; Decapoda; Varunidae. The record is from RefSeq and is a predicted model, not a curated record.
GCGCGGGGGAGUGAGGAAGGGACGCUGUGCUCCGUGCUUCCCCUUGUUAUCCGUGUUAUCCACGUGUCCACCCUUGUUAUCCUCGUGCUGUAGCGGUGCCGUGGCGGGGGGUGUAGGCGUUGACAUCCGUGGCGCUGACUGACCACAUCAGGGUGUGCUGGCAGCCCCCCGCACAGCACAAUGUGAUGCUGUGCGGCUACACCAUUGCCUGGGACCGAGGCGUGGCGGACAUCUACUCCAAGAGCGUGGACAGCAAGCAGCGCGGUUACAUCAUUGAUAAGCUGGAACCCAACAUGGAGUUUGUGAUAAGCCUGCGAGCCUUCAACAACGUGGGUGACGGGCAACCGGUGUACCAGUAUGUCCGCACCCAGCCAGAGGAGGAGGAGGUGGUGGCACCCACGCUGGACCCGGCGGUGUGGGUGAAGGCCGUGGUGCUGACACCCUUCACCGUGGUGCUGCAGUGGGCGGACACCAUGCUGAGCAAGAACCAGUACAACAGCUGCACUACCUUCUCGUCCUAAUCCUCCAGCCGCUACGUCAACGCCACGGAUGUGACCUGCCUCAUUGACAGCCUCAAGCCAUCAACAGUGUGUUUGGCGUGAGUCCCCCUAUAGCCUGGUGGCCCAGCCGUCCUGGCCCUCCCUGGCCAGCCGUCCACCACCACCUUCACCCAGCAGCCGUCCACCACCACCUUCACCCAGCAGCCGUCCACCACCACCUUCACCCGGCAGCCGCUGCAGCGGAACAACGGGAGGAUCACAGGCUACGUGAUAUUCCUCACCACGGACCAAACUGUCAGUGACUGGGUGAUGGGGGAAGUGACGGGGGACUGGCUCACCCUCUCUGUCCAUGGACUGACGCCUUCAAGGAAGUAUUUGCACAAGAUGCACACUCACAAUGUCAAAGGUUUUGGUCCAUUAUCCUCCGUGGAAAGCUUCACGACUCUUCCAGCUGUUGACAAGAGCAUCGGUGAGCCCCCUGGCUGGUGUGUGGAGCGAGAGGCCUGAUUGUGCUGGUGAUCGCUGGCGUGGCAGGAGCCAUGACCAGCUGGGGGCCUUCUUGGCCACCACACUGUACUGCCGCGGGUCAAGGCAGAGCCCAGGCCAAGCAUUGUGUAAGGUGGCAGGACAGUUUCUUGUUGGUGUGUUUCAUCCCAUGACUCA